ACCACGCUAGCCAUAAUGGCGGAUGCCAUAAAAAAGUUUGACAAGAACUGUGCCCUACGCUGAACUGAAAUUGACGAAAUUAUUCUUAGCAAGCUACGAUAUCUUAAAAAAACCGUGUUGUUGUUCGCUGUCAGACGAGAUUUUUUCGCUUCAAUUUCUUUUUUCAUUCCAUCACUUACGAUUUUCUUUUUUUUUAGGAAAUGGUACUCGAGUUUCAGUGAUCGCAUUCCUUAUAGUGACCGGAAGUUAAACCUACAUCAAAACCAAACAUAAAAUCAGCUUCCGUAUCCACACCGUAUCCUGGCAUUCGUUUGGCUUGUAAUACGAAUAAAAUAGUGGCCCAAUGCUGCUUCUCGAGAACGUUAUGGUUUACAAACUUAGGAACGCUUACAGAUGAACCUUGAGUUGACCUUAUGUUCUACUUAACCCAGAACAUAUCGUUUGCGUAUCAAAUACAUUGAAGUAGAGAUUUCCCCGGACAGGGACAGGUCGACGCCGCAUGAUCCAUGGCAGGGCAUAGUGGAAAACUAUAAUUUCGUUAGAUAGAAAUAUAUGUCUGGGACCUAGACGUGGAUUUUUCGGGGCUUGACCCUGUCUGGUCUAAUAAGCAAAGCGCUUGAGGCUCCCCUUUUCUAAUAAUUAAAGACAAAAAUGGGCAUUUUAAAAAAAUCCCUCCGUCCUCCCUGACGUUCAGGCGUCUCAGUUGUGGUCAAUAUCGUUAACUAUCAAAACCAUCGAAAUACAUUUCCUCUUUGCUUAUACCUCAUAUGGAAAGAAUUGUAAUAUGAGUAGCUCAAAAAGGUAGUGGCGGCAAUUAUCCAUACGCUCUGCGAAAAUAAUAGGCAAUCUAUACCUGCUCAAAUAUUUGGUACAUUCGGAGUUGACAACAACGAACCCAGCUUUCCAAUCAAAGAAAAUGUUGCUUGAUAUUGGCUUCUUGGUCGCUUAGAUGACAGUCAGUGGGCGAAGAGAAUUUUGUAAUUUUCCUAUGAAGAUUUCUGUUUGUGAGGGCUAGUUAGAAUUCACGUGAUUCUUCAUGAUUGGUAUGGGGUUUAAGAGAUUCUUGAUUAUUAGGUAUUUGGGACAAUUUCAAUGAGAAUUUUUGAGGAUUUUGAAUUAUGGAGUUCAACGAUGCACCUAAGGGAACUGACGAAAAUGCGCGCUCCUUUGCCUAACUCAUCAAAAUCGUUUCAACGGACAAUGCUCCAAAAUUAUUUCACGGGAUCCAGUUUCAUAUUCAGUUACACUAAACCUAAAAUAAAAUGCAAA
Aedes albopictus (Asian tiger mosquito) is the source of this 1269-nucleotide long non-coding RNA. RefSeq lists it as uncharacterized. The record is from RefSeq and is a predicted model, not a curated record. The transcript has 2 exons. NCBI's taxonomy places the organism in Eukaryota, Metazoa, Arthropoda, Insecta, Diptera, Culicidae.